This 406-nucleotide ribosomal RNA is filed under the name uncultured bacterium. RNAcentral's name for it is "partial 16S ribosomal RNA". It matches the Rfam family "Bacterial small subunit ribosomal RNA", at positions 30 to 526 of the family's 1533-position model. The record is from RNAcentral.
AUUGAACGCUGGCGGCAGGCUUAACACAUGCAAGUCGAGCGAGCGGCGGACGGGUGAGUAAUGUCUGGGAAACUGCCUGAUGGAGGGGGAUAACUACCGGAAACGGUAGCCAAUACCGCAUACCAUCAGAUGUGCCCAGAUGGGUUUAGCUGGUAGGUGGGGUAAUGGCUCACCUAGGCGACGAUGCCUAGCUGGUCUGAGAGGAUGCCCAGCCACACUGGAACUGGAACACGGUCCAGCCUCCUACGGAAGGCAGCAGUGGGGAAUAUUGCACAAUGGGCGCAAGCCUGAUGCAGCCAUGCCGCGUGUGUGAGGAAGGCCUUCGGGUUGUAAAGCACUUUCAGCGAGGAGGCGUUACUCGCAGAAGAAGCACCGGCUAACUCCGUGCCAGCAGCCGCGGUAAUAC